GGUGGAGCAUGUGGUUUAAUUCGAAGAUACACGAAGAACCUUACCUGGCCUUGACAUGGUAGGACCCUUAAGAGAUUAGGGGGUGCUAGCUUGCUAGAACCUACACACAGGUGCUGCACGGCUGUCGUCAGCUCGUGUCGUGAGAUGUUGGGUUAAGUCCCGCAACGAGCGCAACCCUCGUCCUUAGUUGCUAACAGUUCGGCUGAGCACUCUAGGGAGACUGCCUUCGCAAGGAGGAGGAAGGUGAGGACGACGUCAAGUCAUCAUGGCCCUUACGGCCAGGGCUACACACGUGCUACAAUGGGGUGUACAGAGAGCUGCGAUACCGCGAGGUGGAGCCAAUCUCUUAAAGCGUCUCUCAGUUCGGAUUGUUCUCUGCAACUCGAGAACAUGAAGCUGGAAUCACUAGUAAUCGCAGAUCAGCUAUGCUGCGGUGAAUACGUUCCCGGGUCUU
RNAcentral lists this ribosomal RNA (454 nucleotides) under uncultured Sulfuricurvum sp. RNAcentral's name for it is "bacterial SSU rRNA". It matches the Rfam family "Bacterial small subunit ribosomal RNA", at positions 931 to 1382 of the family's 1533-position model. Lineage: Bacteria; Pseudomonadati; Campylobacterota; Epsilonproteobacteria; Campylobacterales; Sulfurimonadaceae. The record is from RNAcentral.